AUGUUCUUCCUUGUGUGGUGGUAAGAAAGAAAGAAUUAGUCCACAACCAGCACCUAAGAGAGUAGAAAUACCUGUGUACUAUGAAGAACCUGAUGAAUCGGUUAUCUCACUCCGUAAAUUAGAAAUACCAACAUUUAAGCAUGAUACAAAACCAUCAGGUAGUGAGACCCAUACAAAGUAUGUGUACAGAAAACGAUCAGUUAGUGAGACUCGUCCAAAGAACUCGUACAGUCGACACUUUGACCAUGAUGACACGUCAUAUGACUUUGAGAUUAACCAGUCACAAGUUCUUCAGUCUCAAGAUGUUAAACAAUAUGAGCAAAGAAUAGACCACACAUAUUCUGAAUCAACUUGCACAUACGAGGAAGAAGAAAAACGCAGAAGACAUUGGCGUAGGAAAAAAAGAGGAACAAACGUCUUCGUGAAGAACAGAUGCGUGACAACAAAUUUUGAUUUAUAAGAUAAAAUAGACAAACUAAGGUAUUAUGUCCCUCGAUAAGGUGAGGACGUAGAGAACUUGAUACCUUGAUGUUGUCACGUGCUCAUGAGCAUGAUAUAAUGACCGGUGAAAAGGAUAAGUUUGACUUAUUAUAUCAUGUAUAUAUAGUUUGAAUUAUUGGAAAAUAAUAAUAUUGGUCAAGCAUUUUAUAAGUACUGGUUAAUACAGUAAAAUACUUUUAGAUGGAAUAUGAAACUAUCUACAUUGGUAACAGAAAGUGACAUUACAGCUGUAAAAUAUGUAUAAUCUAAUUGUGUGUACCUAAAUGUAUAGGCUUCAGAUUCAUAUAAUUAUGUUUAAUUUUAUUGUGUAUGAUAGUACCUAAACGUACAGGCUUUACAUUGCACAUAAAUAUGUUUAAUCUUAUUGUGUAUGAUAGUACGGUAAACGUAUAGGCUUUAGAUUGCUCAGAAAUUUAUUUAAUCUUAUUGUGUGUGAUAUAACACAAAAGU
Molecule: long non-coding RNA, 951 nt
Organism: Mytilus trossulus (common blue mussel)
Lineage: Eukaryota; Metazoa; Mollusca; Bivalvia; Mytilida; Mytilidae
Exons: 5
Source: RefSeq, a predicted model, not a curated record